GACGAACGCUGGCGGCGUGCUUAACACAUGCAAGUCGAACGGAAAGGCCCUACCUGCAGGGUACUCGAGUGGCGAACGGGUGAGUAACACGUGGAUGAUCUGCCCUGCACUUCGGGAUAAGCCUGGGAAACUGGGUCUAAUACCGGAUAGGAGCCAUUUUUAGUGUGAUGGUUGGAAAGUUUUUUCGGUGUAGGAUGAGCUCGCGGCCUAUCAGCUUGUUGGUGGGGUAAUGGCCUACCAAGGCGGCGACGGGUAGCCGGCCUGAGAGGGUGGACGGCCACAUUGGGACUGAGAUACGGCCCAGACUCCUACGGGAGGCAGCAGUGGGGAAUAUUGCACAAUGGGCGCAAGCCUGAUGCAGCGACGCCGCGUGGGGGAUGACGGCCUUCGGGUUGUAAACUCCUUUCGCUAGGGACGAAGCUUUUUGUGACGGUACCUAGAUAAGAAGCACCGGCUAACUACGUG
RNAcentral lists this ribosomal RNA (465 nucleotides) under uncultured bacterium. RNAcentral describes it as "partial 16S ribosomal RNA". It matches the Rfam family "Bacterial small subunit ribosomal RNA", at positions 28 to 507 of the family's 1533-position model. The record is from RNAcentral.